GACGAACGCUGGCGGCGUGCCUAAUACAUGCAAGUUGAGCGCUGAAGGUUGGUACUUGUACCAACUGGAUGAGCAGCGAACGGGUGAGUAACGCGUGGGGAAUCUGCCUUUGAGCGGGGGACAACAUUUGGAAACGAAUGCUAAUACCGCUUAAAAACUUUAAACACAAGUUUUAAGUUUGAAAGAUGCAAUUGCAUCACUCAAAGAUGAUCCCGCGUUGUAUUAGCUAGUUGGUGAGGUAAAGGCUCACCAAGGCGAUGAUACAUAGCCGACCUGAGAGGGUGAUCGGCCACAUUGGAACUGAGACACGGCCCAACUCCUACGGGAGGCAGCAGUAGGGAAUCUUAGGCAAUGGACGAAAGUCUGACCGAGCAACGCCGCGUGAGUGAAGAAGGUUUUCGGAUCGUAAAACUCUGUUGGUAGAGAAGAACGUUGGUGAGAGUGGAAAGCUCAUCAAGUGACGGUAACUACCCAGAAAGGGACGGCUAACUACGUG
Molecule: ribosomal RNA, 496 nt
Filed under: uncultured bacterium
Lineage: Bacteria
Description: partial 16S ribosomal RNA
Rfam family: Bacterial small subunit ribosomal RNA
Source: RNAcentral